CAGCCGCCGCGGUAAAACGGAGGGUGCAAGCGUUAUUCGGAAUUACUGGGCGUAAAGCGCACGCAGGCGGUUGCCCAAGUCAGAUGUGAAAGCCCCGGGCUUAACCUGGGAACUGCAUUUGAAACUGGGCGACUAGAGUAUGAAAGAGGAAAGCGGAAUUUCCAGUGUAGCAGUGAAAUGCGUAGAUAUUGGAAGGAACACCGAUGGCGAAGGCAGCUUUCUGGGUCGAUACUGACGCUCAUGUGCGAAAGCGUGGGGAGCAAACAGGAUUAGAUACCCCCGUAGUCCCUGUCUCUUAUAC
This 301-nucleotide ribosomal RNA is filed under the name uncultured bacterium. Its description in RNAcentral is "partial 16S ribosomal RNA". It matches the Rfam family "Bacterial small subunit ribosomal RNA", at positions 509 to 807 of the family's 1533-position model. The record is from RNAcentral.